CACUCCUACGGGAGGCAGCAGUAGGGAAUCUUCCACAAUGGGUGCAAACCUGAUGGAGCAAUGCCGCGUGAGUGAAGAAGGUCUUCGGAUCGUAAAGCUCUGUUGUUAGAGAAGAACACGUGCUAGGUAACUACUAGCGCCUUGACGGUAUCUAACCAGAAAGUCACGGCUAACUACGUGCCAGCAGCCGCGGUAAUACGUAGGUGACAAGCGUUGUCCGGAUUUAUUGGGCGUAAAGGGAGCGCAGGCGGUCUGUUUAGUCUAAUGUGAAAGCCCACGGCUUAACCGUGGAACGGCAUUGGAAACUGACAGACUUGAAUGUAGAAGAGGAAAAUGGAAUUCCAAGUGUAGCGGUGGAAUGCGUAGAUAUUUGGAGGAACACCAGUGGCGAAGGCGAUUUUCUGGUCUAACAUUGACGCUGAGGCUCGAAAGCGUGGGGAGCGAACAGGAUUAGAUACCCGAGUAGUCCCAUG
RNAcentral lists this ribosomal RNA (473 nucleotides) under uncultured organism. Its description in RNAcentral is "partial 16S ribosomal RNA". It matches the Rfam family "Bacterial small subunit ribosomal RNA", at positions 334 to 799 of the family's 1533-position model. The record is from RNAcentral.